GCUGCUCUGCCUCCCAGGUAAGAAGGGACAACUCUGGAAAUGUGCUCAGCCCAGUGGUCAGUGCUGCCUGGCUCUUCAGGGAAGUCUUCUUGAAAAAUGAUUAAUUAAGGAUACUUAUGUUUAUGUUUCCAAUGUCAGGGGCCAGAUGUGACAUCACGAUGACCCAGUCUCCAUCCUCCCUGUCUGCAUCUCCAGGAGACAGAGUCACCAUCACCUGCAGGGCCAGUCAGAAUAUUAACAGUUGGUUAGCUUGGUAUCAACAGAAGCCAGGGCAAGCUCCUAAGCUCCUGAUAUAUAAGGCAUCUAGUUUGGAAUCUGGGGUCCCCUCAAGGUUCAGUGGCAGUGGAUCUGGAACAGAUUACACUUUCACCAUCAGUAGUGUGGAGCCUGAAGAUGUUGCCACUUAUUACUGUCAACAAGAUAGCAGUUACCCUCUCACAGUGACUCAGGCCAUGACAAAAACCUC
This 466-nucleotide long non-coding RNA is filed under the name Marmota monax (woodchuck). The record is from RNAcentral. Lineage: Eukaryota; Metazoa; Chordata; Mammalia; Rodentia; Sciuridae.